Molecule: long non-coding RNA, 691 nt
Filed under: Nicotiana benthamiana
Lineage: Eukaryota; Viridiplantae; Streptophyta; Magnoliopsida; Solanales; Solanaceae
Description: long non-coding RNA (NBEN_LNC010978)
Source: RNAcentral
UCAAUAUCUCUAUCUCAUUCUCUCUUUAACCAAUGCUCUCCCUUCUCUCUAGAACCUUCUGGUUCCCUCCUUCUUCUCCGACGAGCUUCAUCGCCUCUCCAGCCAUGCUCCAUCCUCACUUCUCUCGACCUCUAGCCACCAUGGAUCCUGUAUCGUUGCUUCUCUCUCAAAGUUUUUAGCCCGAGAAGCUUCCACCAUGAAGAUGGUCACUGAAGCCUCGCCGGGUGUCUGUUUCCGGCCUUUCUCCGAUGAAUGUUUGUCUGAUGAUGCUAAAAACGCCAUUAUCUUUGAGCUUCACGACCAGAUUUCUCUUACCCCUCCCACUGGUUUCUUCUGAAACCCUAAUCAUUACCCAAACUUCUCAAACCUCUAAUUUUUAACGAUUUUUAACUCGUACCUAUAUGUUUUGUACUAUUUUUACUCGAUCUUUACGAUUAUUCCAGCUUUAAACGAUUUAUGUUCCCUUUUGAAACUAGGGUUUCUGACUCCUUUUUUAAAUCGCUUUAUUUUCUGGUUAUUGAGUUCUAAUUCGUAAUUCUCAGUAUAUUUUGUAUAUAUUUUUGCUAAGUUUGGUGAAUCCCUAUUAUGUUUGUGUUUGCAUUUUUUUGUGUUUUUCUCUAAGUUCUAUGCUCCUUGCUAGAAAGAGAACCAAUGGAAGGUGAAUUAACCAAACAAAAAAGGUAAAAAUCAA